RNAcentral lists this microRNA precursor (89 nucleotides) under Paramuricea clavata. Lineage: Eukaryota; Metazoa; Cnidaria; Anthozoa; Malacalcyonacea; Plexauridae. The record is from RNAcentral.
AUAUCACAGUACCACUGAUGAUAUUGAUAGUACUGAUGAUAUUGAUACCAUCAACAUCAUCAGUACCAUCAAUAUCAACAGUACCAUUA